CACUCCCUGCCUGCCAAUCUCCUCCGGGUUAGGGCCUCUCUCUUUCCAUUCUUGCGAGCUCCCCCUACUUGAGAGCUCCAGGAGGCCCAGCCUUCCAGAAUCCGAUCUCCUUCCGACAUUGCAGCCCCCCUGCGGAGGAAGGAAGAGGCCUCCUCGGAAUGAAUGACGGAGCAGCAAAGCAACCCCCAGCGAGCUGCAGGAGCCAGGGUCCCUCCUUAAGUGGCUCUUCCGUUACAUUUUGAGGUGAAGCUGGAGGAAGAGGAGGAAAAAGGCCCCCGUGACCUAUAUCCUCAAGGAGAGACCUGAGAAGGGGUCCGUGGAGAUGUCAUCGUCUGAUGACAGCCACUUAAGGAGUAGAAGACUUGACAUGUGAGUUGCCCUUGGUCACCCAGUUAACAGGGAAGGGGGUUAACAGGGAAGGA
RNAcentral lists this long non-coding RNA (422 nucleotides) under Sus scrofa (pig). RNAcentral describes it as "lncRNA (ENSSSCG00015038555.1)". The record is from RNAcentral. Lineage: Eukaryota; Metazoa; Chordata; Mammalia; Artiodactyla; Suidae.